This 2882-nucleotide non-coding RNA is filed under the name Pongo abelii (Sumatran orangutan). The record is from RNAcentral. Lineage: Eukaryota; Metazoa; Chordata; Mammalia; Primates; Hominidae.
CUCGCAAGACCUGGUUGUUUAAAAGUGGGCGGCACCUUACCCUUCGCUCUUCCUCCUGCUUCUGCCCUGAUGUGUCUGGAUGGAGACAGAUGGGAAUCUUCUCCAGUGACCAGAAUCCAUGCCAAAGGCCUGGGAGCCCAAGCUAACUUCUCAAGCUCUGGGGAUGCCUCGGUGAUCUCUGAUGUGGAAUUAGUGGAGGCUGGCCGUUGCUAACCUCUACACGGCCUGCUGGUCAUUAGCGAGCAGGGGUUCCGAUGUUCCUCUCAUCUUGAAUGUCUUUCCUAGGAGAAUAUUUCUCACAUGUUUGACAGAAAACACUACCUGUCCAUCAUUUCCAUGGAUUCCUGGGUCUCACGGGCAGAAGGACAAGGCAGAUAUGAGGAGGAUCUGGUAAAACCGUGAACACCAUGAGAUUAGAGCAUCCAUCUGUAGACUCACAGAGCAAGAAGCGUGAGUGCCCCAAUCUUGAAUGGAUGAAUAAGAUGAAAAUCAAUUUAUAAAAAUCUCGUGACAAGUUGGAAUUCAGUUAUAGAUCAAUUACAGAUUGCUCACUGGACAAUCAAGGACAUUAUUAGAAAACAGUUUCCACCACUAGAAAUUCAUCUACAUUGACAUCCACCUAAAUAUCCAGAAGGUCAUCCCCACUUUCGUCGCUCUCCACAGUCAGCUGCCGGGUCCACCACUUCUUAACUUCAGAACCGCAGGAAGCUGCGUCAGUCAUGGGGUUCAUUUUGCACAUGACAGAUUUCAUGGUUGUCCUUCCUCCAAACCGAGGAGCCUAGAUCUUCUCUGAUCCCUGAAAAAUAAGUUCCUGGAUAUGAAAGAGGAUACUUUCCUUGGUGGCAGUCCCAGUGAAGACCCACUGAACAUCGUCAGCCUCAAAAUGUAAGCUGUGCUGUUAUCUGCUUUGUGGAACACGUAUGAUACGCAUCUUCUCCUUUCAAUUGGGAUGAAGUUGGGGCACAGUUAAAGAGCAUUAUAAAGCUCCUGCUUUAGCAUGAACUUAGUUAUCUAUAGAGAAAAACAUGUACAAGGACACUGGGCUGUGGGGAGCAUUGCUCUCCCUCCAUUCCUGAGUGCUCCUAAUGGGAUUAUCCUGGCUUUCUAAAACCCUAUAGAGAAGAAGCUCAUAGAAGAAAAUUCUCUUACUGAAUCAGUAAAGUAUGGAAAAUAAUGGGAUUGUUUAUUAAAGGAUUGAAUGAGAGAACACAAGUAAUGCACUUAGAAGAGUGACUGGCAUACAGUGAGUACCACGUGCUGGCUUCUCAACCACGAUAGCCUGAAAUGUACCCGGAAAAUGGGGGCUAAUGUAAGUCACAUUUAGAGAAGUUAUUUUGGGGGACAAUAUUUUUGACAAGACUGCAUUUUCCAUUAUGUUGCUGUCUGUAAACAACUGUAGAUGCAGACUUGCAUUUUGAAAGGCAAGACCCAAAACACACAGAGUAAAUACCUUUAAAAUGCCUCGAUUGAUGGAGAAAUGCCUGGAUGUACCUACCUGAGGGCAGACGCCACUGCCCAAACUUCCUCUGGGGUUUCCCUGCGUCGGCGGCAUCUUGCCGACUUCCUCCUCGAUCCGACAGCGUGGGGCUCAGGAGCUGCUGCUGGCUGCUUGUCUACAUGGGUGGAGAAGCAUGCAGUUACCGUCUUUUUAACCCUGUGCUCUCCUCCUUUUACUAUAAGAAAGGAAAACACACAGCAGGAGGACAAGUGGGAAGAACAACGUGGACUCAGAGUGUCCCCAACAGGGAAAAGUGAAAAUGGGUAGAAAGGGUUCACAGAAGCAAAAGAGCCACCACUGCAUGCCGAGCUGAAGGAGACACCACUCUUCCUGGGACAUCUUGUCCUGGGCCACCUCCACUGCCUCGUUCCCCUCCAUGCCUGAGAAUGUCAUUGUUUCCCUUCAUAUCUUCGCUGGCAAACCAGGGGGUAAGGAAGGGGCACUGCAGGAAGGAAGGUGGGGCAGUGGGGACCGGCUGGGCAGGGGCAGUCUACUUUCGCCAGCCUGGAGAUCCACACUUAGAGCUUCAGGGAAAGAGUUCUCUGCAGGCAAAGCUGUAUGAUGGGCCCUGGCGGAGGAUGGAGCUGAUAACCAUCUAAGCUAAAGCUGUAUGAUGGGCCUUGGUGGAGGAUGGAGCUGAUAACAAUCUAAGCUAAAGUCAAAGAGAGAUGCCAAGACUUCCCUCACAUUUCACCUGUUCUCAGGUUCACCUGUCACCUCUUCCUUUCCUAACAAAAGCCUUGGUCUUCACAUCUCUUCAGUUUCCUCUCUUUUUUUUUUUUCACCUCUUAGGCUUUUUCAUCUAAAAACAGAGGGCUCUGAAAUCAUCACUUUCCCCAGCCUCAUUAGCCCUGUCUCACUGUCUGUCCUGACCUCAGCCUGCCUCCCUCCCCCAUGCGAGACAUUGCCAACCAUCUUCAGGGUGACUGGUGGCAAGGCCACUGCCGAUGCCUCCCCUUGCCCCUUGGUUGACUAACUCCGCAGAAGUCCCUGCAGUCGGUGGCAGAUGAUUUCUAAAGGCUGGGGAGCCCAAAACAUGAGACCUACUGAAAACUGGGCUACGGCACCAGUGGGCCUCCUGGAGCAUCCUGCUGGGCCGUGGAGCCUUAGGCUUCCAAAGGUACUCCGGCCCCUGGCUGUGUUGCUGCACACCACGGAGCCUGGUGCUGCUGGGGGCUCUGCACAGAGCACGGGAUCAGCUCCACAUUGUUAACCUCAAAUCGUAAUUGCUGCCUCAUAAAGGGGCAUGUCCUCCCAGCCAGCUGCUUCUCACAGCACAGGACUCUCCAGGACGCUGAUAACUCCUUGUACUUUUUUAUAUAGACACAUACAUAGAGUUUGAAAAUGAAAAUAUGCUGUGACCUAAUAAAUAGAAACUCCUCAA